GAUGAACGCUGGCGGCGUGCUUAACACAUGCAAGUCGAACGAUGAAGCCCAGCUUGCUGGGUGGAUUAGUGGCGAACGGGUGAGUAACACGUGAGUAACCUGCCCCUGACUCUGGGAUAAGCCCGGGAAACUGGGUCUAAUACCGGAUAGGAGCGCCUGUCGCAUGACGGGUGUUGGAAAGAUUUUUCGGUCAUGGAUGGACUCGCGGCCUAUCAGCUUGUUGGUGAGGUAAUGGCUCACCAAGGCGACGACGGGUAGCCGGCCUGAGAGGGUGACCGGCCACACUGGGACUGAGACACGGCCCAGACUCCUACGGGAGGCAGCAGUGGGGAAUAUUGCACAAUGGGCGGAAGCCUGAUGCAGCGACGCCGCGUGAGGGAUGACGGCCUUCGGGUUGUAAACCUCUUUUCAGUAGGGAAGAAAGCGAAAAGGG
RNAcentral lists this ribosomal RNA (433 nucleotides) under Micrococcus sp. oral taxon F54. RNAcentral describes it as "bacterial SSU rRNA". It matches the Rfam family "Bacterial small subunit ribosomal RNA", at positions 28 to 460 of the family's 1533-position model. The record is from RNAcentral. Lineage: Bacteria; Bacillati; Actinomycetota; Actinomycetes; Micrococcales; Micrococcaceae.